This 1122-nucleotide long non-coding RNA is filed under the name Helianthus annuus (common sunflower). Its description in RNAcentral is "hypothetical non coding rna". The record is from RNAcentral. Lineage: Eukaryota; Viridiplantae; Streptophyta; Magnoliopsida; Asterales; Asteraceae.
AUUUUUCCCUUCCCUCACUCUUUCGUUCCCUAUAUAUAUUCUCAUUUCUUUUUUAUUAUUUACACUAUAAUAAUAAAGCCCUGCCCCGCUUUAAGUGUUUUAACCCUUGAUCACCGAUACCCUGUCCAAGUGACGUAGGGCCCCGUAACGUAUGUCAAGGCUCUGCCUAAAUUCGUUGGGGUUCUGUCUCGUGACGUAGGGAUAAAGUGGAAUUGGGUUAUUAUACUUAAUGUGAGUGCACUAUAUAUUUUAGUAAAUAACCCAGAAGUGAUACCCGAAAUAUAGCAACCCUCCUAAAACACCCCUGACACCCUACACUUUCUAAAAUACACCUCGUAUGUGAAAACCAAGCCCGAAAUACAAUAUAUAAAUUAAAAACAAGAAAUAGUAAGUUGAGGCGGGCCGCGUAGACCCACCCCAACCAUUCACGCGGGCCGUAUGAAGGUGUAACCGGAUUCCUUUGAUUUCUUAAGUUCAAGCGGGCCGCGUAAGGUUCCCUUAACAUUAACGCGGGCCGCGAGAGGUUAAAAAGGUGGCGCAGCCCGAUGCGCCCACGUGGCCCAACACCCGGCUAAGCUAGUUGUCGACUCAGCACAGCUACGCGUUGACCCAGCUUUGACGCGGGCCACGUAAGCUUUGUGCUUAUACUACGCGGGCCGCGAGAGACCCCGAUUCAGGCACUAUAUAAAGGAGGCAUCGGCUAUCCAUUUCAAUUCGUUCAUUCUUCGAUUCUUUCUCUCAAAUUCUGAUAUAAGGCUUUAUUAAGCGGGUAUUAUACCCCCCUAAUUAGCGAAGCUCUGCCUCGUUAUUAUAACCAGGGAAUCACAAAGAAAAGCCCUAUAAUAGCAAUGUGAGUAAUCCUCUUUUUGUUAAAUGUUUUUACAAAACCUUACAUACUUUUCCAUGCGAAUAACAGUUAUUGAGUAUUUGUAACUUAGUGUGAAGCCAAUUGAAGCCAGCUGGAGAGCACUGAAGGCUUGGAAAAGUGGCAAUAAAGUUACCUAAAAUAACAUAGAUCUUUUUAUUAAAUAAUAUAGGAUUUAGUCCUAUGAAAAAGUGUGUACUGCAAACUUGGGGUUUUAUUCCAUGUCUUUAAUAUUAUGAAAAUAUGGUGGUUUUACU